Non-coding RNA from Callithrix jacchus (white-tufted-ear marmoset), 9650 nucleotides. The record is from RefSeq and is a predicted model, not a curated record. Lineage: Eukaryota; Metazoa; Chordata; Mammalia; Primates; Cebidae.
UCAUGUGUUGAAUACUUUACAACAAAAUGAAAAAAACUGAUUUUUUUUUUUAAAUUGGCCGGGCACUGUGGCUCAUGCCUGUAAUCCCAGCACUUUGGGAGGCCAAGGCAAGCGGAUCAUGAGGUCAAGGGAUCGAGAUCAUCUGGCCAACAUGGUGAAACCCCAUCUUUACUAAAAAAUACAAAAAUUAGCUGGCUGUGGUGGUGCACGCCUGUGGUACCAGCUACUCAGGAGGCUGAGGCAGAAGUAUUGCUUGAACCUGGGAGGCAGAGGUUGCAGUGAAUCGAGAUCAUGCCACUACACUCCAGCCUGGCACCUGGUAACCAAGUGAGACUCUAUAUAAAAAAAAAAAAUUAAAUUAUGAGUGACUGUUUCAACUACUGGUAUCAAGUAUGAUCAAGAAAUCUCUGCCAACCAGCCUAAACAAUUAUUCAACAUCACCUCCACCUAAAUAAAAUUCAAGUCUCUCUUGUGCACCAGCAUGUCUCAUUGUUCCCACUGCUUGGGGGUGCUCAGAUAUCUCAACCUAGCUGUCAAAAUUCUUCCAAAUCUAACUAACCAACAUCUAGCUUAUCCAAACCACUUGUCUGCUUUGCCCACAUAAAACUUACCAUGUCACAAACUUGGAAUGUUUAUUCUCUUUUUUUUUUUUUCUGUCACCAGGCUGGAGUGCAGUGGCACAAUCUCAGCUCAUUGCAACCUCUGUCUCCCGGGUUUAAGCAAUUUUCCCCCCUCAGCCUCCUGAGUAGCUGGGACUACAGGCAUGUGCCACCAUGCCCAGCUAAUUUUUGUAUUUUUAGUAGAGACAGGGUUUCACCAUGUUGGCCAGGAUGGUCUCAAUCUCUUGACCUGGUUAUCUGCCUGCCUUGGCCUUCCAAAGUGCUGGGAUUACAGGCAUGAGCUACCACGCCCCGCCGGAAUGUUCAUUCUCAAAUAGCUUAAACAAUUCCCUUACCUAAAGUGCUCAGUGUUUUUCCUCCUCCUUUUCAAGUCUCACUACCCACGAACAACAGCUCUCACUUCGCCUACUCCAGGAAGCCUCCCCUGACUACUUUCCCUCAUUGAUUUUUUCCCCAUGAAUAAUUUGUUUGAAUGGAAUGCUGAAUUAUGACUCUUCGUUGGUCACCAUCUUGUAUCAUGAUGAACCUGUUGCGUGUACAUUUGUUUUGUCCAUUAAAUUGUGUCUUCUUUAUCUUACUUCAUUAUGGUUCUUGUAGGUCAGGUUCCCUAGGACACGGACACUGAGAUGGGGACUGGUGUGCAGGAAAUGAAGGAAGAUUUGGGCCAAGGGGGAAGCUGAGGCAUGACAGUUUCAACAAAAGUCACAGCUGACCCUACUGGGCAGUCCUGAAGCUGAUCAGACCCUUCUGAGCCUCAAGUUGGGGCUGGGGCCUUGGACUUUAUACCCUGUGUUGAUUAUGGCUGAGGGCUGCUUCUGGAACAGGCAGUGGCCUUGCUUGAGGUGAUUCCAGAAGAGGAUGUGUGAUAGUGUAAAGGCUGUUUGUGGAAGCUUUCUCAGCAGCUAAGAAGUCUCAGGCACAUGUUUAUCAGCGGUGUGAAAAUGAACUAAUACAGAGAGGGAGGGACAAGUCAGUCCUUCAGUCCUGAAAGGGGGAUUUUGGUGUCAACUAUGAUGGCCUAAAAAAAAAGAGAAGAAAAGGAGAGGAGGAGAAUGGAGGAAGAAGAGGAAAGAAGGGAAAACGUCCAUCGCACUUGCUCGUCAGGUCUCUUUGGAACAGAAUGUGCCAAGGCAGUCACUCCCUAUAGGAGAGAGGUGAGCUACAAGAAGGCCAUGGAACGAAGUACAGAGCAAUGAAGCCUCCUGCCCACAGUGACUGCACCAGUGACCUGGUGGUGACAAGGCUGGCAUUUGCACCUGCUGGGCUCCAGAACUGCCCUUCUUUCUUCACUCAGUGACAGCAAACCAAGCCUUGUGUCACAUCAUUGCUGGGUAUGUGGAGAUGCUGAAAGAACAAUGGGAGCAAAAAGAACAAGAACCUUGAAAGUCUUCUGUUUUCUCUUUAACCCUUAGAGACCAAAAGAAAUUUUCACUGUAGGAAAAUAAUCCAUUGCACAAACUGUAUUUUUAAAGGUGAAAGUUGGCUAGGUGUGGUGGCUCAAACCUGUAAUCCCAGCACUUUGGGAGUCUGAGGCAGGUGGAUCACCUGAAGUCAGGAUUUUGAGACCAGCCUGGCCAACAUGAUGAAACCCUGUCUGUACUAAAAAUACAAAAAUUAGCCUGUCAUGGUGGCACAUGCCUGUAUUCCCAACUAUUCAGGAGGCUGAGGCAGGAGAAUCACUUGAACCCAGGAGGCGGAAGUCGCAGUGAGCUGAGAUCAUCGCCAUUGAACUACAGUCUGAGCAACAAGAGCAAAAGUCUGUCUCAAAAAAAAAAAAAAAAAAGUGAAAGCUAAGUUUGCCUAGAGGAAGGGGAUCCAGAGACUGGAUUUCUGUAAAGUCCAGAAAAAAAGUUCAGAUUUUGUAAGAUAAAAAGCAUGUGCCUGGAAUGUGCUGGAAUCAGAAAUUACAAACAUUAAAGAAACUCUGAGGAGGAGGCAUGGUAACGACUCUCUCCUACCACCCAUAGGAAAUCAAAUUUUAGCAAAAAGAAAGAUCAAUACAGAAGAGAAGCCGCGCAGGUAGAAAAAGCAAGGGAGCACUGACGGAACCCGGGCAACUUGAAAGUACUACUCCCUCUGUCCAGAUUCUGAAGUUCAUUUACCGCUGCCAGUCAGCACACGAGGGAAACAGGAACCACCAGGGCCUUUCUCUGCAGCUGGAGAAUUUAAUUCAUUUCAGAAACUUCCUGGAGAGGAAUGAAAUGCAAGGGCUUCCAGAAAUCAGAAUACCUUCUGCCCCAGGAUCUUGGGCAGAAUUGGCAUUUUCAUCACAGAACCUGAACUAAGAUAGUGAGUGAGGGAUUUUUCUUAGAAAUUAUACUUAAACUCAUGCAUUUUUCAAAAUAUUUCAUGCUUUUCUCUAAAACCUUAUGGCUAUCAUUCACUGAAAGGCAAAACAUGAGUAAGAUAUUUCUUUAUGGCUCUCUAUAUUCAUCCUAUUUAUCUAGAUAUUAAACAAGUAUCAUCUUGUCUUGAUUUAUAUUUCUAAUCUAUAUUUCUCUUAAUUGGCAUUCCAAAUUAUGAGCCUUGGGGUACUUUUAGUCAUUUUGUUUUUAAAGCACUUUUUAAUCUUGCUUCUCUGUAGUUAGAAAUUGCAACUACUGGUUAUUCUAGGGCUGAUGGUUCAGUUACAGGAUCUGGGGCUAAGUCGCCUGGUUCUGGCUACCCUGAACUUCAGGCAGCUCUGAAUAAGGGAGUAAAUCAGCUUCCAGAGGGCUAAUUUCCGACCUCAUUAUAGCCCUCCUGGCCAAUUUUGCCUUCUGGUGAGCAGCUUCAAAUGCAGAAAAGAUCAGCUGAGAUACAUACUCUCCUCCAGGUGCUCCCUCUCCUUCCCCACCCUAUCCUGCUUCCAUCCCCUCAACCCUCCUAAUGGAGGAGGGAGGAGAGCACAGCAGCGGGAAAGAUAAGCCAGUGAGAACUUCAAACCCAGCAGAGCCCCGCCCCUGGGGUGUGACCCAUUUGUGCAGGAUUCUUGCAGUUAUUGGGUGGUCUUUAUUAUCAUUGUUGACUAUGGGAAUCUUUUCAUUCUUGGCCCAGAGUCUUUGCUAGAGGUCUUUACAUGAGAAAGGGGGCAUUUUUCAGAGCUGAGAUUUGAAUGCAUGGAAAUUAAAAAAAAACACCUUUGGUCAUGUGAAAAGAAAGCAGCUGGAGAGGUGGUGGGGGAAAGAGCCCAUCUGCUAAUUAAAACUCCAAGAGUAGUAGGAGGAACAAUUACUCUAAGGCACUAUCUCUCCCCACGUUCCUGCAAACAAAUUAGCUUCAACACCCACACACAGUAGGAAAACAAAUGCCAAUUAUGCCUAGAUGUUUCCCUGAACCUGUUUUCUCUUCGCUAUUUCCAUCUGAUCCUUAACACUUUUUUGAUAGUGGGUUGGAGAUAAGCCCAUUGCUUAUCUGGACAAAUGAUUUCCAUCCACUUUUAUUCCAAAGCAAAUCCACAGCAGUGAGGGGGCUGGGACCAACAUUAAGCCCAGAUCUGUUUCUGCACGUAGAACAAAACUCUUCAUUUUGGUUGAGUACCAACAAUAGUAGUUUAUAACACAGGAGAGGACCUUUAAUUAUUAAAUUUCAGUGUAAAACAUAAUCAAACGUGAAAACGGUUUUAUGAAGGCAGAUGGCAUUAUGGCACAUAUUAACGUAUAGAGGAUGCACAUCCAUUUAUUUACAACUGAGAUAUAAUUGUAAAUAAUUACUCAGUUAUUAUUGGCUGAAACUAGAUUAAAUGAUUUUGGUUUUUUGCUUGGUUGCUUCCCAAGUUAUGGCAAGUAUGCACUUAUGAAUAAAGUUGCUAUAAACAACGAUGUGCAGGAUUUUUGGUGCAUAUAACUUCAUUUUUCUCCAUAUGAUUUUCUAAAAUCUUGUUGGAGACAAGCAGUGGGUGAGAAAGAAAGACGGCUAAAGUUGCAGACACUUUUUUGGUUUCUCUGGAGGCAGAGAUCUGAAUUUCACCUUUGAUGUCAAGCAGUUUCUUUGUCUAAGCCUUUCAGUAAUGCCAAGGUAAAGCAGCAAUCCCUUCUGGAACAGAGAGGUUUGGGAGCAACAGGGAGGGAAACUGGGCUGCUUGACCCCAUAAAAGAGCAUUUCCCUGUAUGUGGCAUGCUUCUCUGCUCAUCACGUUUCCUUUAAGGGAAAAAAAUUUCUCUAAAUGUGGACUUAGACUAUCCCCCCAAAAUUUUACUUGUUCCCCAGAGGUAUGCGUGUGUGUGUGUGUGUGUAGGUGUGCAUGUGUGUUGGUGUGUGUACACAGAUAUUCUUGUUCAGAAACUUACCCGUCUGUGUGGUUAGGAGCAGAAUGAAGCUAUGAUGGGAGGAGGAAGGAAGUGGUGGCAUGUCUUCAUCACAUGCUUUCUUUUCUCCACUUCACACUAGGUAUCCUGGCAGAUUUAAUAACUCUGACUCAGGAAAGGUCCCUCUUUCAGGGGUUUUGCCUUGUCUAGGUAAGGGGAAGGACUAAGGCAAGGCCUUAGAAGGAUUCUUUGUUUCCGAUGGGAAUAGACAUUAUACCAUUCUAGGGUACCAGAUACCCUAGAAAUGGGCUGGAAUGUGAGGUCUCAGGAGUUGAGGCUCAAACUUGAGGGUGGAGAGAAAUCCUCAAGGGCCUUUGUGUUGAGGCUCUGUUUAACCCUUCCAAUACGGUCAUUUGGAACAGCCAUAUCCAGUGUCUGAUGGGUUUCUCUGAUUCCUUGUAAAAAACACAUUGAUUAUCACAUAGGGCACUAAGGCGAGGGCUGGGUCAGUGCUGUAGACCUCUCUCUGGGAAACCACAGGAGGGAAACUUAUCAGGGACACCUGCUCCUCGGUGGGUACCACGGCCUUCGCUCAUCGCCUAGCCUCAACUGUUCUGGUAGAACUAAGACUUCCUGGUUGAACCGGACAUGAAAGAGAGAACAUGCCAGCUAGAGACAUCUGAAUUAUCUAGAUCAAUGGUUCUCAGCAGGGGUGAUUCUGUUCCCAGGAGAUAACUGGUGGGGGCAGGGGUGGCUACUGGCAUCCAGGGAGUAGAGAACAAAGAUGCUGCUAAUCAUCCUGCAACACACUGGAUAGCCCCGACCCCACCCCCAACAAAGAAUUAUUCAGCCCAAAAUCUCAAUAGUGCUAAGGCUGAGAAUUCCUGACCCAGGAGGAGGGAGUAAAAAUAUUUACAUGUUCACAUGUAAAUACAAUAAAAGCUGAAUCUCAAAAGCACUAAUAAUGUUGAUCUAAAAAGAAAAGUUUACCUGGCAAAAAGCAACAUAAGGGAUAUUGAGAGUCUAAUGUGCACCAAGUCCAAGUUCUGUUCCAGUUUCUAGCAACCAGCAAGACAACGUCUCAUUCUCAUGGAAUUGAUGUUGCAGCUGGGAGGGAAGAACCCUGAGAUAUCAUAUACAUUUCAGAUCUUAAUUAUAAUAACAGCCCGUGGGAAGUGAUUUAUUUAAUCCUCCCAGCAACCCUAUGACAUAUGUGCUAUUAUAAUCUCCAUUUUAUAAGACACCGAGGCAGAGGUAAGUGGCUUGUCCAAGGUCCACAACCGAUAGACCCCGUCUGGUUGCUUCACAGCAUUUAAAGUCCCUCUUAUGGUCAGAUGGACUUCAAUUAACUAGCUACAUGAUGUGGGUGGUAUGACUUAAUUUCUCUUGAUUCUUCCUUAAUUCCUCUUGAUUCUUCCUUCAUGUGUGGCAUGGAGGUAACAAAAGUAUCUCAUAAGAGUGUGUAAAAACUGAGUAACUUGAUUUACAGAGAGUGCUUAGAACAAUGUUUGGCAUACAGUAAGAGCCAAUGGUUUAUCGAAGGAAAUAGAAAGUAGACAGAGAAAGACUGAGAACCCUACUUUAGACCUGUGGUUCCCAAAGCAUGGCCCUUGAAUCAGCAGCACCAGCAUCCCCUGGGUACUUGCUAGAAAUGCAAAUCCUUGGUCCCCAGCCCUUGUAAUGAGAAAAACCCAGAAUCAUACUGAAAAACCAUCCCCCAAACUGGGAGGGAGCACAGAGAACAAAAAGUGACUCAAACAAGUACAGCUUAGCUAGUAGAUGAGUUUAUUAGGAGUUGCAUACAAGAGAUUGCUGGGCAGCAGCAGUGCAGCUCUAGAGAUAUGUGCCAUCUCCCAUCUCUAAGCUGUUUUUAAGCUAAUUUUCUGGCUCCUUGCCGUGUGUGUGUGUGUGUGUGUGUGUGUGUGUGUGUGUGAGAGAGAGAGAGAGAGGAGAAAGAGAGAGAGAGAGAGGAGAAAGAGAGAGAGAGAGAGAGAGACAGAGACAGAGACAGAGACAGAGACAGAGAGAGAGAGAGACAGAGAGAGAGAGAGAGAUGGGACUGUGCCUAGCCUUUAGGGUUCAGGCAGCAGAUACAUACCCUUAAGUAAUCUGAUGGGGAACUCAUCACAUUACAGCCCAGACAUGAUUCUGGGAUGGCUUUGUGAUAUAGCUAACUUAGAGUUGGAACCUGUACAUUGCCAUCUUAUAAAAGACAAAAAUGUUUCCAUUCUCCUCACAAGGACUGCUAACCUUGGUUUCUGUAAACUGCUAGAUUAUUUGCAGGAUGCAAAGAGGUAAAGCUGCAUACCUUCUCUUAUCUGCCAGAAUUGCUGGCCUUUGUUUCCCAGAGUAAGCACCCCCAGAUAAUUCCAUCGUGGCGCCAAGCAACUGAAAAUCUAUGGAUCCCACCCCUACCCAGACGAUGUGUAAACAAAUGCUAAUCUUAGCAUCUUAAAUGACAAUCAGAAUAGUCCCCUGGCCUUCGAAAUGUCCGGAACCCCCUCACCCCCAUCUCCGCCCAGAAGGUGAUCUGAAUCCACUGGCCCUCGGAAUGUCUGAAGCCCCUCACCCCCAAGAUGAUUUUAUGGGUAUAAAAAGGUCUUGUCACCCUUCUUUCUCUGCCACGGGUUGGAGAGACGUGAGUCCUCCAUGGUCGCCGGCAAUAAACCCUGCAAUUUGGCAUACUUUUGUUCUGGUGUUGAGUUUCUGUGCUCAGUUCGUUGCAACAGCUUCAGCAAUCUGCUUUAACAAGCUCCCCAGGUGACUCUGAUGUCUGCUGAAGUUUGAGAACCAAUGAAUUAGACCAUUCUAAGGAGGUGAUGUUUGGGCUGUGAUACAGGAGUUUGUCCAGACGUUAGGAAGACUCCCUAACAUAUUCCCUGACUACAAACCCUUAAAAAGAACCAAAACUCUGUAUAUGUCCUCCCUUCUUUUGUGCUGUUUCCUUAAUUCCACUUGGCUUUAUGCUUGGAUAGCUUCUAAGACCAGAUGUCUUCUCUGAUAUCCUUAAACUCCUUCAACUGUUCUCCACUCUCAGCUGGUUCUUGGUUCUCUUCAUAUCUUUCCUCAUUUGUUCAUUCCUUCAUACGAGUUUAUUAAGCCUAAGCCAGGCCUUGGGUGAGGUGGAAGUGGGGUACAUGGCAGGGAAAGCUAACAGACACUCAGUGCCCCACCAUAUCCUCAGGGAGCCUGCCAUCUAGUAGAGAGGCAGAAAUUCGUCCCUGUGUCAGCACUGGCUUCUGGAGCCAGUCAGAGCAGGGGCACCAGUGAGGACUGAGGUGGGGGCAGAUGUAGGAACCACCUUCUCAGAAGGGGUAACACUUGGUCCCAGCCUUGAUGAGCAAAUAGAAAAAAAAAACCUGAUAAAACAAUAUUAAAAAUCAUCUGGAAGAACACACAAGGGAAAUAAUAUCAAAGAAUGAAUGUUUUUUAAUCACAGCAAAAAAGGUAACCAUGGGAGAUACAUGGAAUUACUAAAGGCAAAGAAUCAGCUGAGUGAAAAUGAUAGAAAUGUUCUACCUACACUUUCUUUAAAAUUAAAAAUUGACAAGCCUGAAGUGAAUGAAUAGCCAUCUGGUCAACACUGGGUACUCCCUGAUUAUUCUUGUGUUUUUGUUUUGCUGUUGUCCUUUCACCUCCAGGCAUUUGCUCAGCCAGGUAUGCCUCCUUCCUCUUCUCCCCACACUUGCUGAUGAAAAUCUUCCCCAUAUUUAAGGUUCGGAUCAAAAGCUGCCUCCCUCAGAGGCUGUCUCUGAUCCUCCUCAUUGGAGGUGAUUUCUUUCCCCAGCAAGGCCAGAAACCCUUGUUGGUACUGCUAAUCAACUGUUAGCACAUUUUGCUGCAUCAUGGUUAUUCGGUAAAUAGAUUUUAUUCUGUGAUAAAUGUAAGAGCCUCUGGGAUCAAGACAGUAUUACACCUGUCUUCGUAUGACAAAGAUGUCUUGCCCUCAGUAAUCAGGCCAUUCCCUGGAUAAGACUGUACACAGCAUACAGCUGAGAAGGCUGAGUCACCAUCUCCUGCACCAACAACACCUCAGGGGGAUCAAAGAAUUACACUUUUAAUCUAGUCAUAAACUUUAAUAACACAAAUGGAGGACAGCAAAGUGAUUUUUAAUUACUGAGUGAGUUGAAGAUAUUAAUGGAGACAAGAAUUAAUGUGUUUUAUUAUGUAAAAAAUUUAUUCAACAAAUGUAAUAAACACAAAGAGUAAUACAGAAAAAUUAUGUGACAAAAAAAGGAUGUAAAUAUGCUCUCUAAAUGCAUUAAAUAUGCUGAUGAAAUGGAUGAAAAUAUGCUCUCUAAAUGCAUUAAAGUUGAUAAAUAGUCAUAAAAUCAGCACUCAUAUUACUUUAUAAAGUAGUUUAAAGUAAAUGAACAGUUUUUACACAAGAAUACAUAAUAAAUAAUACACAAAAUAAAUAAUACAUAAUACACAAGAAUGCAUAAUAAACACCAUAUGGAAAAACGUAGCAUUUUUAUCCAUUAAAAAUGCAAAUCAAGCUGGGUGCAGUGGCUCACACCUAUAAUCCUAGCACUUUGAGAAGCUGAGGCAGGUGGAUCACCUGAGGUGAGGAGGUUGAGAUCAGCCUGUCCAAUGUGUCGAAACCCCAUCUCUACUAAAAAUACAAAAACUAGCCGGACGAGUUGGCACAUGCCUCUAAUCCCAGCUAUUCGGGAAGCUGAAGCAGGAGAAUUGCUUGUACCCAGGUUUCGGGGAGGUUGCAGUGAACCGAGAUCAUGCCAUUGCACUCCAGCCUGGGCAACAAGAGUGAAACUCUGUCUCAAAAAAAAAAAAAAAAAAGAAA